CUUAGUUGCCAGCAUUCAGUUGGGCACUCUAAGGUGACUGCCGGUGACAAACCGGAGGAAGGUGGGGAUGACGUCAAAUCAUCAUGCCCCUUAUGACCUGGGCUACACACGUGCUACAAUGGAUAGUACAAAGGGUCGCGAAGCCGCGAGGUGGAGCUAAUCCCAUAAAACUAUUCUCAGUUCGGAUUGUAGGCUGCAACUCGCCUACAUGAAGCCGGAAUCGCUAGUAAUCGUGGAUCAGCAUGCCACGGUGAAUACGUUCCCGGGCCUUGUACACACCGCCCGUCACACCACGAG
RNAcentral lists this ribosomal RNA (297 nucleotides) under Listeria monocytogenes. RNAcentral describes it as "partial 16S ribosomal RNA". It matches the Rfam family "Bacterial small subunit ribosomal RNA", at positions 1110 to 1408 of the family's 1533-position model. Lineage: Bacteria; Bacillati; Bacillota; Bacilli; Caryophanales; Listeriaceae. The record is from RNAcentral.